AAUCGGUUCUACGGCACAGCCGACGUGUCGGCAAUCGCAGUGACCGAGGGAGAUGCGCCACGCUCAUAGAGUGAAAAAUCAAUGUGGUGGGUAGAGUUUGGUAGGUCCUUCAUGGAUUCGAAGAAGUCAGACCCC
RNAcentral lists this non-coding RNA (135 nucleotides) under unclassified sequences. RNAcentral describes it as "RT-3 RNA". It matches the Rfam family "RT-3 RNA". The record is from Rfam by way of RNAcentral.